Sciurus vulgaris (Eurasian red squirrel) is the source of this 107-nucleotide small nuclear RNA. Lineage: Eukaryota; Metazoa; Chordata; Mammalia; Rodentia; Sciuridae. The record is from Ensembl.
GUGCUAGUUUCAGCAGCACAUAUACUAAAUUGAAAUGACCCUACAGAAGAUCAGUGUGGCUACUAUAUAAGGAAGAAACACAAAUUCAUGAAAGAUUUCAUAUCUUU